UACGUAGGGCGCAAGCGUUGUCCGGAAUUUAUUGGGCGUAAAGAGCUCGUAGGCGGCCUGUUACGUCUGCUGUGAAAUCCCGGGGCUUAACCCCGGGCGUGCAGUGGAUACGGGCAGGCUCGAGUUCGGUAGGGGAGACUGGAAUUCCUGGUGUAGCGGUGAAAUGCGCAGAUAUCAGGAGGAACACCGGUGGCGAAGGCGGGUCUCUGGGCCGAUACUGACGCUGAGGAGCGAAAGCGUGGGGAGCGAACAGG
RNAcentral lists this ribosomal RNA (254 nucleotides) under uncultured bacterium. RNAcentral's name for it is "partial 16S ribosomal RNA". It matches the Rfam family "Bacterial small subunit ribosomal RNA", at positions 524 to 776 of the family's 1533-position model. The record is from RNAcentral.